UACGGGGGGAGCAAGCGUUGUUCGGAUUUACUGGGCGUAAAGGGCGCGUAGGCGGCCAGCACAAGUCAGUUGUGAAAUCUCCGAGCUUAACUCGGAAAGGUCAACUGAUACUGUGCGGCUAGAGUGCGGAAGGGGCAACUGGAGUUCUUGGUGUAGCGGUGAAAUGCGUAGAUAUCAAGAGGAACACCUGCGGCGAAGGCGGGUUGCUGGGCCGACACUGACGCUGUGGUGCGAAAGCGUGGGGAGCAAACAGG
RNAcentral lists this ribosomal RNA (254 nucleotides) under uncultured bacterium. Its description in RNAcentral is "partial 16S ribosomal RNA". It matches the Rfam family "Bacterial small subunit ribosomal RNA", at positions 524 to 776 of the family's 1533-position model. The record is from RNAcentral.